AGAGUUUGAUCAUGGCUCAGGACGAACGCUGGCGGCGUGCUUAACACAUGCAAGUCGAACGGUAAGGCCCUUCGGGGUACACGAGUGGCGAACGGGUGAGUAACACGUGGGUGAUCUGCCCUGCACUUUGGGAUAAGCCUGGGAAACUGGGUCUAAUACCGAAUAUGACCUCGAGAUGCAUGUCUUGGGGUGGAAAGCUUUUGCGGUGUGGGAUGGGCCCGCGGCCUAUCAGCUUGUUGGUGGGGUGAUGGCCUACCAAGGCGACGACGGGUAGCCGGCCUGAGAGGGUGACCGGCCACACUGGGACUGAGAUACGGCCCAGACUCCUACGGGAGGCAGCAGUGGGGAAUAUUGCACAAUGGGCGCAAGCCUGAUGCAGCGACGCCGCGUGGGGGAUGACGGCCUUCGGGUUGUAAACCUCUUUCAGUAGGGACGAAGCGCAAGUGACGGUACCUAUAGAAGAAGGACCGGCCAACUACGUGCCAGCAGCCGCGGUA
This 497-nucleotide ribosomal RNA is filed under the name uncultured Actinomycetes bacterium. Its description in RNAcentral is "bacterial SSU rRNA". It matches the Rfam family "Bacterial small subunit ribosomal RNA", at positions 8 to 522 of the family's 1533-position model. The record is from RNAcentral. Lineage: Bacteria; Bacillati; Actinomycetota; Actinomycetes.